RNAcentral lists this ribosomal RNA (560 nucleotides) under uncultured bacterium. RNAcentral describes it as "bacterial SSU rRNA". It matches the Rfam family "Bacterial small subunit ribosomal RNA", at positions 950 to 1510 of the family's 1533-position model. The record is from RNAcentral.
UUCGAUGCAACGCGAAGAACCUUACCUGGCCUUGACAUGUCUGGAAUCCUGUAGAGAUACGGGAGUGCCUUCGGGAAUCAGAACACAGGUGCUGCAUGGCUGUCGUCAGCUCGUGUCGUGAGAUGUUGGGUUAAGUCCCGCAACGAGCGCAACCCUUGUCGUUAAUUGCCAUCAUUUAGUUGGGCACUUUAGCGAGACUGCCGGUGACAAACCGGAGGAAGGUGGGGAUGACGUCAAGUCCUCAUGGCCCUUACACGCUGGGCUACACACGUGCUACAAUGGCGGUGACAGUGGGCAGCAAGCACGCGAGUGUGAGCUAAUCUCCAAAAGCCGUCUCAGUUCGGAUUGUUCUCUGCAACUCGAGAGCAUGAAGGCGGAAUCGCUAGUAAUCGCGGAUCAGCAUGCCGCGGUGAAUACGUUCCCAGGCCUUGUACACACCGCCCGUCACACCAUGGGAGUUGGAUUCACUCGAAGGCGUUGAGCUAACCCGCAAGGGAGGCAGGCGACCACAGUGGGUUUAGCGACUGGGGUGAAGUCGUAACAAGGUAGCCGUAGGGGAA